AACGAACGCUGGCGGCAUGCCUAACACAUGCAAGUCGAACGGGAUCCUAGCUUGCUAGGUGAGAGUGGCGGACGGGUGAGUAACACGUGGGAAUCUGCCUUUUGGUUCGGGAUAACCGCGGGAAACUGCGGCUAAUACCGAAUGCCCUCGAGAGAGGAAAGAUUUAUCGCCAGAAGAGGAGCCCGCGUCCGAUUAGGUAGUUGGUGGGGUAAAGGCCUACCAAGCCGACGAUCGGUAGCUGGUCUGAGAGGAUGAUCAGCCACACUGGGACUGAGAUACGGCCCAGACUCCUACGGGAGGCAGCAGUGGGAAUAUUGGACAAUGGGGGCAACCCUGAUCCAGCAAUGCCGCGUGAGUGAUG
Molecule: ribosomal RNA, 361 nt
Filed under: uncultured bacterium
Lineage: Bacteria
Description: bacterial SSU rRNA
Rfam family: Bacterial small subunit ribosomal RNA
Source: RNAcentral